GCGGGGAUAGCUUAGUUGUGAGAGUGUCAGAUUGAAGAUCUAAAGGUCAUAUGUUCGAUCCACGUUCACCGCA
RNAcentral lists this transfer RNA (73 nucleotides) under Ipomoea nil (Japanese morning glory). It matches the Rfam family "tRNA". From Rfam's summary of the family: Transfer RNA (tRNA) molecules are approximately 80 nucleotides in length. Their secondary structure includes four short double-helical elements and three loops (D, anti-codon, and T loops). Further hydrogen bonds mediate the characteristic L-shaped molecular structure. tRNAs have two regions of fundamental functional importance: the anti-codon, which is responsible for specific mRNA codon recognition, and the 3' end, to which the tRNAs corresponding amino acid is attached (by aminoacyl-tRNA synthetases). tRNAs cope with the degeneracy of the genetic code in two manners: having more than one tRNA (with a specific anti-codon) for a particular amino acid; and 'wobble' base-pairing, i.e. permitting non-standard base-pairing at the 3rd anti-codon position. Lineage: Eukaryota; Viridiplantae; Streptophyta; Magnoliopsida; Solanales; Convolvulaceae. The record is from Rfam by way of RNAcentral.